Molecule: ribosomal RNA, 498 nt
Filed under: uncultured Bacillota bacterium
Lineage: Bacteria; Bacillati; Bacillota
Description: bacterial SSU rRNA
Rfam family: Bacterial small subunit ribosomal RNA
Source: RNAcentral
AGAUGUCCUUUUCUUCGGAACAUUCAAGACAGGUGGUGCAUGGUUGUCGUCAGCUCGUGUCGUGAGAUGUUGGGUUAAGUCCCGCAACGAGCGCAACCCUUAUAUUUAGUUGCCAGCAUUUCGGAUGGGCACUCUAGAUAGACUGCCGGUGACAAACCGGAGGAAGGUGGGGAUGACGUCAAAUCAUCAUGCCCCUUAUGACCUGGGCUACACACGUACUACAAUGGCCGGUACAACGGGCUGCGAAAUCGCGAGAUGGAGCCAAUCCCAACAAAGCCGGUCUCAGUUCGGAUUGCAGGCUGCAACUCGCCUGCAUGAAGUCGGAAUUGCUAGUAAUCGCGGAUCAGCAUGCCGCGGUGAAUACGUUCCCGGGUCUUGUACACACCGCCCGUCACACCACGAGAGUUUAUAACACCCGAAGUCGGUGGGGUAACCGCAAGGAGCCAGCCGCCGAAGGUGGGAUAGAUGAUUGGGGUGAAGUCGUAACAAGGUAACCGU